UACAGAGGGUGCAAGCGUUGUUCGGAAUUACUGGGCGUAAAGCGCGUGUAGGCGGCGGCGUUAGUCGGAUGUGAAAUCCCUCAGCUCAACUGAGGAAGUGCAUUCGAUACUGCGUCGCUUGAAUGUCGGAGGGGAUGGCGGAAUUCCCGGUGUAGAGGUGAAAUUCGUAGAUAUCGGGAGGAACACCUGUGGCGAAGGCGGCCAUCUGGACGACAAUUGACGCUGAGACGCGAAAGCGUGGGUAGCAAACAGG
RNAcentral lists this ribosomal RNA (253 nucleotides) under uncultured bacterium. RNAcentral describes it as "partial 16S ribosomal RNA". It matches the Rfam family "Bacterial small subunit ribosomal RNA", at positions 524 to 776 of the family's 1533-position model. The record is from RNAcentral.